CCACCUGAUCCCAUGCCGAACUCAGAAGUGAAACGUUGUAGCGCCGAUGGUAGUGUGGGGUCUCCCCAUGUGAGAGUAGGGAACUGCCAAGC
Molecule: ribosomal RNA, 92 nt
Filed under: Proteus mirabilis
Lineage: Bacteria; Pseudomonadati; Pseudomonadota; Gammaproteobacteria; Enterobacterales; Morganellaceae
Source: RNAcentral